Cricetulus griseus (Chinese hamster) is the source of this 164-nucleotide small nuclear RNA. Its record names the gene U4. It matches the Rfam family "U4 spliceosomal RNA". From Rfam's summary of the family: U4 small nuclear RNA (U4 snRNA) is a component of the major U2-dependent spliceosome. The structure of U4 snRNA from yeast and human has been reported. The record is from Ensembl. NCBI's taxonomy places the organism in Eukaryota, Metazoa, Chordata, Mammalia, Rodentia, Cricetidae.
AGCUUUGCACAGCGGCAGUGUUGCAGCCAAUGAGGUUUAUCCAAGGUGCAAUUAUUGCUAAUUAAACGUUUGGCAUGUAGGAAUAUUUACUUUUACAGUUUUGUGUUGUCCAUGUAGUGACAUAUAACGAAAAUCAGCAGUAUUUUUAAAGUAUUUGAUGAAAU